Molecule: small nucleolar RNA, 95 nt
Filed under: Vulpes vulpes (red fox)
Lineage: Eukaryota; Metazoa; Chordata; Mammalia; Carnivora; Canidae
Description: Small nucleolar RNA SNORD116 (ENSVVUG00000009282.1)
Rfam family: Small nucleolar RNA SNORD116
About the family: HBII-85 is a member of the C/D class of snoRNAs, which contain the C (UGAUGA) and D (CUGA) box motifs. HBII-85 is encoded in a tandemly repeated array with another C/D snoRNA, HBII-52, in the Prader-Willi syndrome (PWS) region of chromosome 15.
Source: Rfam by way of RNAcentral
GGAUCGAUGAUGAUUCCCUCAAUCUGCAUUCCUUGGAAAAGCUGAACAAAAUGAGUGAGAACUCCCUACCGUCGUUCUCAUCGAAACUGAGGUCC